UACGUAGGGGGCAAGCGUUGUCCGGAAUCAUUGGGCGUAAAGAGCGCGUAGGCGGCUAGAUAAGUCCGGUGUGAAAGUCACAGGCUCAACCUGUGAAUGCCGCUGGAAACUGUCUGGCUAGAGUCCGGAAGGGGCGAGUGGAAUUCCUGGUGUAGCGGUGAAAUGCGCAGAUAUCAGGAGGAACACCAAUGGCGAAGGCAGCUCGCUGGGACGGUACUGACGCUGAGACGCGAAAGCGUGGGGAGCAAACAGG
Molecule: ribosomal RNA, 253 nt
Filed under: uncultured bacterium
Lineage: Bacteria
Description: partial 16S ribosomal RNA
Rfam family: Bacterial small subunit ribosomal RNA
Source: RNAcentral